GUCCUUGUAGCUUAAACCAAAGCACGGCGCUGAAGACGCCAAGAUGGACGCCACCACCCCGAGGAC
This 66-nucleotide transfer RNA is filed under the name Primolius couloni (blue-headed macaw). RNAcentral's name for it is "tRNA-Phe". The record is from RNAcentral. RNAcentral also lists the same sequence under 1 other name. Lineage: Eukaryota; Metazoa; Chordata; Aves; Psittaciformes; Psittacidae.